CAAGUCGAGGGGCGAGCGACAAGGAGCAAUCUGAGGUGGCGACCGGCGGCACGGGUGAGUAACACGUAUGCAACCUGCCUGUAAGACGGGGAAUAACCCGUUGAAAGACGGACUAAUACCGCAUAAUACUAAAUUACUGCAUGGUAAUUUAUUUAAACAUUUAUGGCUUACAGAUGGGCAUGCGCAUGAUUAGCUAGUUGGAGAGGUAACGGCUCCCCAAGGCAACGAUCAUUAGGGGUUCUGAGAGGAAGGUCCCCCACACUGGUACUGAGACACGGACCAGACUCCUACGGGAGGCAGCAGUGAGGAAUAUUGGUCAAUGGACGAGAGUCUGAACCAGCCAAGUCGCGUGCAGGAAGAAUGUCCCUAUGGAUUGUAAACUGCUUUUGCAGGGGGAAUAAAGUGCAUCACGUGUGAUGUUUUGUAUGUACUCUGCGAAUAAGGAUCGGCUAACUCCGUGCCAGCAGCCGC
Molecule: ribosomal RNA, 471 nt
Filed under: uncultured bacterium
Lineage: Bacteria
Description: bacterial SSU rRNA
Rfam family: Bacterial small subunit ribosomal RNA
Source: RNAcentral